AAUCUUCCACAAUGGGUGCAAACCUGAUGGAGCAAUGCCGCGUGAAUGAAGAAGGUCUUCGGAUCGUAAAGUUCUGUUAUUAGAGAAGAACAAGUAAAGGAGUAACUGUCGUCACUUUGACGGUACCUAACCAGAAAGUCACGGCUAACUACGUGCCAUCAGCCGCGGUAAUACGUAGGUGACAAGCGUUGUCCGUAAUUAUUGGGCGUAAAGGGGGCGCAGGCGGUUGGAAUAGUCUGAUGUGAAAGCCCACGGCUUAACCGUGGAAGGUCAUUGGAAACUGUCCAACUUGAAUGCAGAAGAGGUAAGUGGAAUUCCAUGUGUAGCGGUGAAAUGCGUAGAUAUAUGGAGGAACACCAGUGGCGAAGGCGACUUACUGGUCUGUGAUUGGCGCUGAGGCUCGAAAGCGUGGGUAGCGAACA
RNAcentral lists this ribosomal RNA (422 nucleotides) under uncultured bacterium. RNAcentral's name for it is "partial 16S ribosomal RNA". It matches the Rfam family "Bacterial small subunit ribosomal RNA", at positions 360 to 774 of the family's 1533-position model. The record is from RNAcentral.